AUCCUUUUGCAGUUACAUGUAAGGAUUGGGUUUUCACCCUUAUGAGUGAGAUGCAAGCCCUCUAACAUUGUUACAUAUCAGCACAUUACCCAUCUGACA
Molecule: small nucleolar RNA, 99 nt
Organism: Callithrix jacchus (white-tufted-ear marmoset)
Lineage: Eukaryota; Metazoa; Chordata; Mammalia; Primates; Cebidae
Source: Ensembl